Molecule: long non-coding RNA, 590 nt
Organism: Culex quinquefasciatus (southern house mosquito)
Lineage: Eukaryota; Metazoa; Arthropoda; Insecta; Diptera; Culicidae
Exons: 4
Source: RefSeq, a predicted model, not a curated record
AAAUCAAACACAAACGCAAGAUCGUUACCAGUUGCGUGUUAACCAUAAAGGAGAUCGCCACGUUCGAAAAACUAUUUGUGUGAAGUGCCACUUUCUGAUCUCACUCGUGACUGCUGAUCUAGGGUCAGUUAACCGAAGCGGCCAAGCCAUCGUGCCGCUGGAUUGAGCAAGAAAGGAGGGAUUGCCGGCUAGGCAAGUGUGAUCGUUGAGCGAAGCUGAGGACGCGAGGAAGGGGACACUACCUGGAUCUGGAUUCUUCGAGGGACGUAAUGGCGCUGGAGUAGUUCCGCCAUGAGGAUUAAGAGAUCGGCCUAUAUUCUAUUUUCACAUUUUUGUGAAAUGGCGGGUGUGCGGCGUGCCAAGUGCGCUGCCUGGUCGUCCCGCACGAUGUCUAGCUGGUAUGCUGUACGGACCAGACCUGGUCGAGGCCGGGAAUGAACCAUCCGGAUGGUCAACCAAGCAUUGCGCCGAGGGAUACACACCUACACUGACAUACACUACAACACCUAGGAUUAGUACCGCCAAAUAGUGAGUAAGUUCGCCAUUUAGUUUUAAGUACGUCUGGGGGAAAAAGUUUAAUAAAAGCCAUG